Molecule: small nucleolar RNA, 98 nt
Organism: Argentina anserina (silverweed cinquefoil)
Lineage: Eukaryota; Viridiplantae; Streptophyta; Magnoliopsida; Rosales; Rosaceae
Product: small nucleolar RNA Z266
Exons: 1
Source: RefSeq, a predicted model, not a curated record
UGUCUGGCAGGAAUGAUGAUUCAAUUAGAUGUGUGAAAAGGGAAAUCCUUUUCAUGAACUUAAUUGUUUGAGGCAUUCAUUAGUCUGACUUGCCUACG